UACAGAGGGGGCCAGCGUUGUCCGGACUUACUGGGUGUAAAGCGCAUGCCGGUGGCGUGGCAAGUGGGCUGUGAAAGCCGCGGGCUUAACUCGCGGAGGCCAGUCCAGACUGCCAGGCUCGAGGGCUGCAGAGGGUCGGGGAAUUGCCGGUGUAGUGGUGAAAUGCGUAGAGAUCGGCAGGAACACCAAGGCCGAAGGGACCGACCUGGGCAGCAUCUGACACUCUAGUGCGACAGCGUGGGGAGCGAACCGG
This 253-nucleotide ribosomal RNA is filed under the name uncultured bacterium. Its description in RNAcentral is "partial 16S ribosomal RNA". It matches the Rfam family "Bacterial small subunit ribosomal RNA", at positions 524 to 776 of the family's 1533-position model. The record is from RNAcentral.